AGCAGUCGCCACGGUAAUACGAAGGGGGCUAGCGUUGCUCGGAAUUACUGGGCGUAAAGGGAGCGUAGGCGGACAUUUAAGUCAGGGGUGAAAUCCCAGAGCUCAACUCUGGAACUGCCUUUGAUACUGGGUGUCUUGAGUGUGAUAGAGGUAUGUGGAACUCCGAGUGUAGAGGUGAAAUUCGUAGAUAUUCGGAAGAACACCAGUGGCGAAGGCGACAUACUGGAUCAUUACUGACGCUGAGGCUCGAAAGCGUGGGGAGCAAACAGGAUUAGAGACCCGAGUAGUCCCUGUCUCUUAUAC
This 303-nucleotide ribosomal RNA is filed under the name uncultured bacterium. RNAcentral's name for it is "partial 16S ribosomal RNA". It matches the Rfam family "Bacterial small subunit ribosomal RNA", at positions 507 to 807 of the family's 1533-position model. The record is from RNAcentral.